RNAcentral lists this ribosomal RNA (216 nucleotides) under Triticum aestivum (bread wheat). RNAcentral's name for it is "partial small subunit ribosomal RNA". Lineage: Eukaryota; Viridiplantae; Streptophyta; Magnoliopsida; Poales; Poaceae. The record is from RNAcentral.
AUGCUUUCUUCAACCCCGCCAUUGAAAAAAAAUCCAAACAUCAACCGAAAGGCUUUGUAUAAGCUCUGUCCAGAAGAUGUGAACAACAGUCAAUGGUGUGGGCUUAUUAAAUAUUGGAAGUCAAAAAAAGGAAGGGCCCUUGCUGAGAAGAACAUAAUUAGUUGUUCCCUCGUGAAGGAUUCACAUAAUGCUGGCACAAGGAAUUAUGCUUGUUAG